RNAcentral lists this ribosomal RNA (253 nucleotides) under uncultured bacterium. Its description in RNAcentral is "partial 16S ribosomal RNA". It matches the Rfam family "Bacterial small subunit ribosomal RNA", at positions 524 to 776 of the family's 1533-position model. The record is from RNAcentral.
GACGUAGGGCGCGAGCGUUGUCCGGAUUUAUUGGGCGUAAAGCGCGUGUAGGCGGUCCGGUAAGUCCGCUGUGAAAGUCGGGGGCUCAACCCUCGGAUGCCGGUGGAUACUGUCGGGCUUGAGUACGGAAGAGGCGAGUGGAAUUCCUGGUGUAGCGGUGAAAUGCGCAGAUAUCAGGAGGAACACCGGUGGCGAAGGCGGUUCUCUGGGCAUUACCUGACGCUGAGGAGCGAAAGCGUGGGGAGCGAACAGG